Molecule: ribosomal RNA, 393 nt
Filed under: uncultured bacterium
Lineage: Bacteria
Description: partial 16S ribosomal RNA
Rfam family: Bacterial small subunit ribosomal RNA
Source: RNAcentral
AUACGGAAGGUCCGGGCGUUAUCCGGAUUUAUUGGGUUUAAAGCGAGCGCAGGCGGCACUUCCAGCCUGACGUUAAAUUUCGGGGCUCACCCCCGAUUUGCGUCGCGAACUGUUGUGCUUGAGUAGGCGGCAGGGCGGCGGAAUUCGCGGUGUAGCGGUGAAUUGCUUAGAUAUCGCGAGGAACUCCGAUAGCUCAGGCAGCCUCCCGUUGCUUUACUGACGCUCAUGCUCGAAGGUGCGGGUAGCGAACAGGAUUAGAUACCCUGGUAGUCCGCACUGUAAAAGAUGGAUGCCCGCUGUUGGGCCUUUUGGGUUCAGUGGCCAAGAGAAAGCGUUAAGCAUCCCACCUGGGGAGUACGCCGGCAACGGUGAAACUCAAAGGAAUUGACGGGG